GGCAACGUGGCGGAGUGGUUAUCGCGCUAGCCUAGAAAUUCUGAAUUCAGCUAGUUCCUUCGGGAGCGUCAGUUCGACUCUGGCCGUUGUCG
RNAcentral lists this transfer RNA (92 nucleotides) under Blumeria hordei DH14. RNAcentral's name for it is "tRNA-Ser for anticodon AGA". It matches the Rfam family "tRNA". Rfam says of the family: Transfer RNA (tRNA) molecules are approximately 80 nucleotides in length. Their secondary structure includes four short double-helical elements and three loops (D, anti-codon, and T loops). Lineage: Eukaryota; Fungi; Ascomycota; Leotiomycetes; Helotiales; Erysiphaceae. The record is from Rfam by way of RNAcentral.